This 754-nucleotide ribosomal RNA is filed under the name uncultured Bacilli bacterium. Its description in RNAcentral is "bacterial SSU rRNA". It matches the Rfam family "Bacterial small subunit ribosomal RNA", at positions 28 to 762 of the family's 1533-position model. Lineage: Bacteria; Bacillati; Bacillota; Bacilli. The record is from RNAcentral.
GACGAACGCUGGCGGCGUGCCUAAUACAUGCAAGCCGAACGAGAGCGACCGGUGCUUGCACUGGUCAAUCUAGUGGCGAACGGGUGAGUAACACGUGGGUAACCUGCCCAUCAGAGGGGGAUAACAUUCGGAAACGGAUGCUAAAACCGCAUAGGUCCUUUAACCGCAUGGUUGAAGAAGGAAAAGAGGCGCAAGCUUCUGCUGAUGGAUGGACCCGCGGUGCAUUAGCUAGUUGGUGAGGUAACGGCUCACCAAGGCCGUGAUGCAUAGCCGACCUGAGAGGGUGAUCGGCCACAUUGGGACUGAGACACGGCCCAAACUCCUACGGGAGGCAGCAGUAGGGAAUCUUCCGCAAUGGACGCAAGUCUGACGGAGCAACGCCGCGUGAGUGAAGAAGGUUUUCGGAUCGUAAAACUCUGUUGUUAGAGAAGAACAAGUGCUAGAGUAACUGUUAGCGCCUUGACGGUAUCUAACCAGAAAGCCACGGCUAACUACGUGCCAGCAGCCGCGGUAAUACGUAGGUGGCAAGCGUUGUCCGGAUUUAUUGGGCGUAAAGCGAGCGCAGGCGGUUCCUUAAGUCUGAUGUGAAAGCCCCCGGCUCAACCGGGGAGGGUCAUUGGAAACUGGGGAACUUGAGUGCAGAAGAGGAGAGUGGAAUUCCAUGUGUAGCGGUGAAAUGCGUAGAUAUAUGGAGGAACACCAGUGGCGAAGGCGACUCUCUGGUCUGUAACUUGACGCUGAGGCUCGAAAGCGU